UGAACGCUAGCGGCAGGCUUAACACAUGCAAGUCGAGGGGUAGUCUAGCAAUAGAUGAGACCGGCGCACGGGUGCGUAACGCGUAUGCAAUCUNCUUUUACAGAGGGAUAGCCCAGAGAAAUUUGGAUUAAUACCUCAUAGUAUAACGACUCGGCAUCGAGAUGUUAUUAAAGUUCCAACGGUAAAAGAUGAGCAUGCGUCCCAUUAGCUAGUUGGUGUGGUAACGGCACACCAAGGCAACGAUGGGUAGGGGUCCUGAGAGGGAGAUCCCCCACACUGGUACUGAGACACGGACCAGACUCCUACGGGAGGCAGCAGUGAGGAAUAUUGGCCAAUGGGGGCAACCCUGAACCAGCCAUGCCGCGUGCAGGAAGACGGCCCUAUGGGUUGUAAACUGCUUUUGUACCAGAGAAAACCCGAGUACGUGUACUCGGUUGAUAGUAUGGUAAGAAUAAGCAUCGGCUAACUUCGUGCCAGCAGCCGCGGUAAGACGAAGGAUGCAAGCGUUAUCCGGAUUCAUUGGGUUUAAAGGGUGCGUAGGCGGACUUGUAAGUCAGUGGUGAAAUCUCUCAGCUUAACUGAGAAACUGCCAUUGAUACUGCAGGUCUAGAGUAUAGAUGACGUUGGCGGAAUAUGACAUGUAGUGGUGAAAUACUUAGAUAUGUCAUAGAACACCGAUUGCGAAGGCAGCUAACGAAACUAUAACUGACGCUGAGGCACGAAAGUGCGGGGAUCAAACAGGAUUAGAUACCCUGGUAGUCCGCACCGUAAACGAUGAUUACUCGUUGUUGGCGAUAUGACAGUCAGCGACCAAGCGAAAGCGAUAAGUAAUCCACCUGGGGAGUACGCCGGCAACGGUGAA
Molecule: ribosomal RNA, 862 nt
Filed under: uncultured bacterium
Lineage: Bacteria
Description: bacterial SSU rRNA
Rfam family: Bacterial small subunit ribosomal RNA
Source: RNAcentral